AAACAGGAUUCCUUUAGUAAUGGCGAAUGAAGAAGGAUUAGCUCAACAUGAAAAUUGGGGCUUCUGGCCUUGAAUUGUAGUUUGAAGAUGCAUUUGCCAAUGGACAUGAUAAUGAAAGCCUUUUGGGAAAAAGCAUCAACGAGGGUGAGAAUCCUUCUUGACAUUUCAAUUGUCCAUGUACGGUGUGCAUUGAAGAUUCACGUUCCUUGGGAUUUGAACGCAAACUUGUUGGUAAAUUUCAUUUAAAGCUAAAUAUUGGUUUGAGACCGAUAGAAAACAAGUACCAUGAGGGAAAAGUGAAAAGGACUUUGAAAAGAAAGUUAAAAGUGCUUGAAAUUGCUGAAGAGGAAGCGGGUGUAUUUCAAACACAAUUUUCAAGAUUGUUGUGCAUAUCUGUGAUUUCUUGUUGUUUUGACUUCAUCGCAGCAACAAGACUGAUCUGUGACUGCACAAUGUUGCUUGUGUUUUGUGCCAUCAUCGAUUCACAGCUAAAGAAACAGCCUGAAAAUGACGAUUUGCUCUUGUGCAAAUGAAUGUUUGGGUGUAGAUUUAGCUUGUGGACCGUCUGUCUUCCUGUUGUGUUGAUACCUUGGUGUCCACAACAUGAAAAUGAUGGCCAAAGAAAUACAUUCGGCCCGUCUUGAAA
Molecule: ribosomal RNA, 646 nt
Filed under: Pentaplacodinium lapazense
Lineage: Eukaryota; Dinophyceae; Gonyaulacales; Protoceratiaceae
Description: Pentaplacodinium sp. HGu-2022a partial large subunit ribosomal RNA
Rfam family: Eukaryotic large subunit ribosomal RNA
Source: RNAcentral